This is a long non-coding RNA of Lycium barbarum (goji berry), 894 nucleotides long. RefSeq lists it as uncharacterized. The record is from RefSeq and is a predicted model, not a curated record. Lineage: Eukaryota; Viridiplantae; Streptophyta; Magnoliopsida; Solanales; Solanaceae. The transcript is spliced from 3 exons.
AUAAUCAGAUCAAGGGGGGAAAACCCCUCCUCACGUUCAUUUCACACCAAACACCCCUUUCCCCCUACCCCCUCUCUCAUUCCUCUUCCAUAACAAACCCUAGGCGCUACCUGCAUUCUUUCUCCUCUCUCAUCGCAAAAAAUGGCAAAUGUUCAGAGGUCUCAGACCUCAGCCAACUUUUACGCAUCUAACUGCAUAAAACAAUUAAUGCUUCAGCAUUUUUUCACUCGAAAUUGCUCUAAACACGGAUUGGCUCGGAUCAACUCAUAGUGGAACAGAUCUGACCGUGUAUGCUUGUUAUCUUUAAAUCCUAAGCGUUAAUUUCCUAUAUUGAGUGUUUGUUCCUGAGAAAUUUUGUUGUCCCACAUCGAUUUUUGAAGUCUUUGAAUGCAACUUUGGGCUUCUUAAAUAGAACCCCAAACCUUACCAGAAAAACAAGUUUGAAACCCUCAUAGCUUGAAUUUUGAGUAAAUAACUCGGAAAUUUUAGCUCUCAGUUUUAAAAUUUCAAGACUUAACUGUAAAAGUAGAGUCUUAGUAGUCCAAAUAUUUAUUUACUUGUUUUCCUUUCUUUGUGGGGCUGAGUCUUGAGAUUGGAAGCAUAAGGUUUCCAAAUUCAUUCUUGACAGAGGCUGCACAUUAAAAAGCCAAGUCCAAUCAACUUGUUGGGCCCUUCAAAUACAUAUCGAGUUCGAAGACAAAUGGAAGCUAAUAUAAACACAAAGAAGGCCCAGCCAUGGGUGAAAAUGGUCAAUUAGGGGCUUCGUACACCCCUAGCCUUCCCUUCUCUUAUUCUAUUUAUUUACAUUUUCUUCCCAUGUAUAAUUUCGUUGUGUUUCGUAUUUGUACUAACCUAUAAUACUCAUAUAUUAUAGUGGAAUAUUUAUUGUUUGAA